Long non-coding RNA from Carassius gibelio (silver crucian carp), 1071 nucleotides. RefSeq lists it as uncharacterized. The record is from RefSeq and is a predicted model, not a curated record. NCBI's taxonomy places the organism in Eukaryota, Metazoa, Chordata, Actinopteri, Cypriniformes, Cyprinidae. The transcript has 2 exons.
CCAUGUCUUACAAAACUCUCAGGCAGCGGUUACAGUUGCGUUUGUGAAGUUGACUUCCUCCGGCCGCUUCCUGUUCUUCUUCUCCUUUAGCUCUCGCCGAGGGCCUCGCUGUUGAUCUGGUUCAGAUUCUUGCAGGGCUUUGAUUGGCUCUCAUAAACACUCAGCUCUUACACAGAUGAAGAUUAUCAGCAGAUUCUCUGUGAAUCACUGAGAAUUGAGGAAGUCUGAGUUCAGAGUUUGAAUGUGUUAAAGACAGACACAUUUGGUGUGUUUAACACACACUUACAGCCGUUACAGCACUGAAGACAUCCACAGAUGACUCUCAUCCUCUCACUCCCAUCCUCUUUUCCUCUCUAGUGAAUGAAAGGAAGAGAGAGACGACUGCUCAGAGAUCUCACAGCGGUGUCUGUUCUCCAGACGUCUUCUUCAGUGAUCUGCUGCUGAGACAACAACAGAACCACAGAUCAUCUUCAGCUCAGCUUCAACACUUCAUCAACCUCAGACGGAAGAGAAGAACAGACAGAAGAACAGACAGAAGAACAGACAGAAGAGAUGAACAGACAGAAGAACAGACAGAGGAGAAGAACAGACAGAAGAGAAGAACAGACAGAAGAACAGACAGAAGAACAGACAGAAGAGAUGAACAGACAGAAGAACAGACAGAAGAGAAGAACAGACGGAAGAACAGACAGAAGAGAAGAACAGUCAGAAGAACAGACAGAAGAGAAGAACAGACAGACGAGAAGAACUAACAGAAGAACAGACAGAAGAGAAGAACUGACAGAAGAGAAGAACAGACCGAAGAACUGACAGAAGAGAAGAACUGACAGAAGAGAAGAACAGACAGAAGAACAGACAGAAGAACUGACAGAAGAGAAGAACAGACAGAAGAACAGACAGAAGAACAGAUAGAAGAGAAGAACAGACAGAAGAACAGACAGAAGAGAAGAACAGACAGAAGAACAGACAGAAGAGAAGAACUGACAGAAGAGAAGAACAGACAGAAGAACAGACAGAAGAGAAGAACUGACAGAAGAACAGACAGAAGAGAAGAACAGACAGAAGAACAGA